GUCUCGGUAGUCUAUAGGCUUAGGACGCUUGCACGGAAAGCAAGAGAUCUGAGUUCGACUCCCGGCCGAGACA
RNAcentral lists this transfer RNA (73 nucleotides) under Trachymyrmex septentrionalis. It matches the Rfam family "tRNA". Rfam says of the family: Transfer RNA (tRNA) molecules are approximately 80 nucleotides in length. The record is from Rfam by way of RNAcentral. Lineage: Eukaryota; Metazoa; Arthropoda; Insecta; Hymenoptera; Formicidae.